This 528-nucleotide ribosomal RNA is filed under the name Paenarthrobacter aurescens. RNAcentral describes it as "bacterial SSU rRNA". It matches the Rfam family "Bacterial small subunit ribosomal RNA", at positions 154 to 695 of the family's 1533-position model. Lineage: Bacteria; Bacillati; Actinomycetota; Actinomycetes; Micrococcales; Micrococcaceae. The record is from RNAcentral.
AACUGGNGUCUAAUACCGGAUACGACCAUCUGGCGCAUGUCAUGGUGGUGGAAAGCUUUUGUGGUUUUGGAUGGACUCGCGGCCUAUCAGCUUGUUGGUGGGGUAAUGGCCUACCAAGGCGACGACGGGUAGCCGGCCUGAGAGGGUGACCGGCCACACUGGGACUGAGACACGGCCCAGACUCCUACGGGAGGCAGCAGUGGGGAAUAUUGCACAAUGGGCGNAAGCCUGAUGCAGCGACGCCGCGUGAGGGAUGACGGCCUUCGGGUUGUAAACCUCUUUCAGUAGGGAAGAAGCGAAAGUGACGGUACCUGCAGAAGAAGCGCCGGCUAACUACGUGCCAGCAGCCGCGGUAAUACGUAGGGCGCAAGCGUUAUCCGGAAUUAUUGGGCGUAAAGAGCUCGUAGGCGGUUUGUCGCGUCUGCUGUGAAAGACCGGGGCUCAACUCCGGUUCUGCAGUGGGUACGGGCAGACUAGAGUGCAGUAGGGGAGACUGGAAUUCCUGGUGUAGCGGUGAAAUGCGUAGAA